CAGCAGCCGCGGUAAUACGAAGGGGGCUAGCGUUGUUCGGAAUUACUGGGCGUAAAGCGCACGUAGGCGGACAUUUAAGUCAGGGGUGAAAUCCCGGGGCUCAACCCCGGAACUGCCUUUGAUACUGGGUGUCUAGAGUAUGGAAGAGGUGAGUGGAAUUCCGAGUGUAGAGGUGAAAUUCGUAGAUAUUCGGAGGAACACCAGUGGCGAAGGCGGCUCACUGGUCCAUUACUGACGCUGAGGUGCGAAAGCGUGGGGAGCAAACAGGAUUAGAUACCCGGGUAGUCCCUGUCUCUUAUAC
RNAcentral lists this ribosomal RNA (301 nucleotides) under uncultured bacterium. RNAcentral describes it as "partial 16S ribosomal RNA". It matches the Rfam family "Bacterial small subunit ribosomal RNA", at positions 509 to 807 of the family's 1533-position model. The record is from RNAcentral.